CCUACACAUGCAAGUCGAGGGGUAACGUGAGUGCUUGCACUUGACGACGACCGGCGCACGGGUGCGGAACGCGUAUGGAACCUACCUUUAUCAGGGAGAUAGCCCAUGGAAACGUGGAUUAAUAUCCCAUAGUAUUAUUUUAUCGCCUGAUAGAAUAAUUAAAGAAUUUCGGAUAGAGAUGGCCAUGCGUAUCAUUAGCUAGUAGGCGAGGUAACGGCUCACCUAGGCGACGAUGAUUAGGGGUCCUGAGAGGGAGAUCCCCCACACUGGUACUGAGACACGGACCAGACUCCUACGGGAGGCAGCAGUGAGGAAUAUUGGGCAAUGGAGGCAACUCUGACCCAGCCAUGCCGCGUGCAGGAAGACGGCCCUACGGGUUGUAAACUGCCUUUAUACAGGAAGAACACCACCCACGUGUGGGUGACUGACGGUACUGUAAGAAUAAGGACCGGCUAACUCCGUGCCAGCAGCCGCGGUAAUACGGAGGGUCCGAGCGUUAUCCGGAAUCAUUGGGUUUAAAGGGUCCGUAGGCGGGCUAAUAAGUCAGAGGUGAAAGUUUGCAGCUCAACUGUAAAAUUGCCUUUGAUACUGUUAGUCUUGAGUUAUAGUGAAGUGGUUAGAAUAAGUGGUGUAGCGGUGAAAUGCAUAGAUAUCACUUAGAAUACCGAUUGCGAAGGCAGAUCACUAACUGUAUACUGACGCUGAGGGACGAAAGCAUGGGUAGCGAACGGGAUUAGAUACCCCGGUAGUCCAUGCUGUAAACGAUGUCAACUAGGUGUGUGAAGAUAUAUUCUUUGCGUAUCGAAGCUAACGCGAUAAGUUGACCGCCUGGGGAGUACGGCCGCAAGGCUAAAACUCAAAUGAAUUGACGGGGGC
This 876-nucleotide ribosomal RNA is filed under the name uncultured Bacteroidota bacterium. RNAcentral describes it as "bacterial SSU rRNA". It matches the Rfam family "Bacterial small subunit ribosomal RNA", at positions 48 to 920 of the family's 1533-position model. The record is from RNAcentral. Lineage: Bacteria; Pseudomonadati; Bacteroidota.